UAAUACGUAGGGUGCAAGCGUUGUCCGGAAUCAUUGGGCGUAAAGCGCGCGUAGGCGGCCCGAUAAGUCCGCUGUAAAAGUCAACGGCUCAACUGUUGAAAGCCGGUGGAUACUGUCGGGCUAGAGUACGGAAGAGGCAAGUGGAAUUCCUGGUGUAGCGGUGGAAUGCGCAGAUAUCAGGAGGAACACCUAUAGCGAAGGCAGCUUGCUGGGACGUUACUGACGCUAAGGCGCGAAAGCGUGGGGAGCGAACAGGAUUAGAUACCCUGGUAGUCCACGCCGUAAACGAUGAGAACUAGGUGUGGGAGGUGUCGACUCCUCCCGUGCCGUCGCUAACGCAUUAAGUUCUCCGCCUGGGGAGUACGGCCGCAAGGCUA
RNAcentral lists this ribosomal RNA (377 nucleotides) under uncultured bacterium. Its description in RNAcentral is "bacterial SSU rRNA". It matches the Rfam family "Bacterial small subunit ribosomal RNA", at positions 521 to 896 of the family's 1533-position model. The record is from RNAcentral.